Molecule: ribosomal RNA, 303 nt
Filed under: Fisculla sp.
Lineage: Eukaryota; Cercozoa; Thecofilosea; Tectofilosida
Description: SSU rRNA
Rfam family: Eukaryotic small subunit ribosomal RNA (bases 59-303)
Source: RNAcentral
GAUUUCUGGUUAGAUGCCCCUGAUCCGCAUCCUUCGGGGUGUGAGUGUCGGUGUGGCGUCUGCCAUCCUUUGUAGAACUUGCCCUGGGGGGUUUACUCUCUCUGGGUGUCCUGGUCUACAUCUUUUACUUUGAAAAAAUUAGAGUGUUUAAAGCAGGCUUUUGCUGUGAAUACAUUAGCAUGGAAUAAUAAUAUAGGACUUCGGUUCUAUUUUGUUGGUUUCUAGUACUGAAGUAAUGAUUGAUAGGGAUAGUUGGGGGUGCUAGUAUUCAGCGGCCAGAGGUGAAAUUCUUGGAUUCGCUGA